Molecule: long non-coding RNA, 1633 nt
Filed under: Homo sapiens (human)
Lineage: Eukaryota; Metazoa; Chordata; Mammalia; Primates; Hominidae
Description: long intergenic non-protein coding RNA 1503
Source: RNAcentral
AGAGCCUCACACUUGCUGCCUCCUCUGCCUGGAACUCUCUCCCUCUGCUCUCACAGGGUUCCCUAAGUGUCGCUUCCUCCAAGAAGCCCUCCCUGAUGAGUUGAGCCACUUUAGUUUGUGCUCAGGCUCACCCUGCACGUCUUGGUUGCUCUCAUCACUGUAAUGAUCUAAAACACACGUCUGCUCAUGAGACCCGCAUCCCACCCCCGAUGCUGGGGCCGCUCUUGGAUUUUCAUGCCUGCUGCCAGCACCCAGGGGGAGCUCCGGAAAUGUCUGCUGGGGGCUCGGAAUACCCACCUUUCUGGUAAUGCAGCCCAGCGGGUCCCAGCCUCGUUUUCCAGCCCUCACUCAAAAUGGAGUCGCUCUGGUUCGAACGCCUCUGACAAGUGUGUACCUACGUGUCAGGCCCAUCCUUCCUGCAGGCCUUUGUCUUGGUGUCACCCUGCCUGAGCUGGCCCCAACCACAGUAGCAACAGUGAUGCUGAUGUGUGACUGCUGCCAGGAGCCUGCUCACAUGACCGUGUGGAGAAAGUUCUUUCCCUGAGGACCAUCUGGAGUGGACGCGUGCACUACCCCUCUCUGAAUACACCCUCCCCACGAGGCCCUCUGGAGCAUCCUGUAGAGCCAGCCCCUACCCAGAGACCCUGAGCCCAGAGAAUGCGCUGGGUGGUGAGCCUGGGGACGAAUGCAGAGCCCUAGGUCUCCUCUCCAGAAGUUGGAGUGCCAUGGUGUGGUCAUAGCCCACUGAAGCCUCAAACCUCUGGGCUGAAGCCAUCCUUCCGCCUCAGCCUCCCAAGUAGCUGGGACCAUAGGUGCAUGGCACUGUGCCUGGCACUGUCUGAAUGCAUACAGCUGGGCUUCUCAGAGCGUUUGCAGAUGUGGACAGUUGGUCUCCAGCCUAGGAAAGGAGUUUGCACAAUUUCCCAAACGGAUUUUAUGAACUGAUUUUGGUUUGGCUGCUAGGAGGUCCUAUCUGCAGUGGGGGCUGCUGGACCUGGGAGGCUGGGGUGCUGAGGCUCCUCUGCACACUCCACUUUGGGUGACAUUGUUCUAGAACCUCCAGGUCCAGCUUCCAGAGGACCAUGAGUGGGUAUGAUAAGGUUUGAAGUGGGGCCGGGCAUGGUGGCUCACGCCUGUAACCCCAGCACUUUGGGAGGCCGAGGCGGGCAGACUGCCUGAGCUUAGAAGUUCAAGACCAGCCUGGGCAACACAGUGAAAUCCCGUCUCUACUAAAAUACAAAAAAUUAGCUGGGCAUGGUCACGUGCUCCUGUAGUCCCAGCUACUUGGGAGGGUGAGGCAGGAGAAUUGCUUGAAUCCGGGAGGUAGAGGUUGCAGUGAGCCGAGAUCAUGCCACUGCACUCCAGCCUGGGCGACAGAGCAAGACUCCAUCUCAAAAAAAGAAAAGAAAAGAAAACGAAAGAAAAAAGAUAAGCGUAGCAUCGUGGUAAGAACACCCGCCCUGACAUCACACAGACCUGCAUCCACGUCCCAGCUGAGCCUCAGUUCUCACAUCUGCAAAAUGGGGAGAACAACAGCAGCAGCGUCCUGAGGCUGGGGUGAGGACCGAGUGAAAAACCUUUGUCGCAUCUUUGGGCAUCGCAGGAGUUCAAUAAAUGUUAGCUAUCGUUGUCA